UCCAGAAUUAUAGUGGGAGAAAUUUGACGUUAAAAUUCUCACAAAUGCUCGUAUGACUAACGUUGCCCUAAUAUUUUACAUGAAUCAAAAAUCGUUGUCAUCGAAUUGGAAUAAAUUAACUCUUCUUUAUUAUAGAAAAUACAAUUACAUACCCUUUACAGGGAAUUACGACAAGGUCCCGAGGAAGAUCAAACGCCUUUAGAAAAAACGUCAUAAUGUCGAAUCAACAGAUUCAGAGACUGAAACCAAUCGACACGGAAAAUUGACCAAAAAUCAAGCAGCAGCUAUGACAAGGCCAACUUUUUCUUUGCCAGAACCAAUUGUCGAAGAAAAUGAUUCCUCUACAUCAAGAACAUGGAAAAUUCAUGGAGCUGAAAGCUCAAGAGAUGACAAUCAACCAACAGGUAAUGAGGCAGUGGGGGCUGGAGCAUCUCAAGCUACUAAUUACUGGAUUUGUUGACCUUCUCAUGUACAAAAUACGUGAUUGCACAAACGUGAAACCUGCCUCUAAUAUGAUCUAAGCAGGAAAAUCGAAAAGCUAAAGAUAAACAUGGCGUCCCCUAGAGAAGGAUUACCGAAACUCGCCCAUUAGGACAUUAGAAGAAUUCCUCGACUUCGAGAGGACUCUAGGCCCAAUGCAUGACGACGAUUUGGCUGAUCUUGAUUAUCACGAUUACUAGUGAUUGGCUAGCAGGUGUUGGCGGCAGAGAUGAAGGAUGUAUGGAACGUAAAAAGGAUGCUGACGGAGUUUAACUGGGGAAAGAACUGAGAGGGACGCCCCAUGACUCACCAGUCGGCAAAGACUAAAUUAAGACUUAAGACUUAAUUUGUCGAAUUUUGUGUUCAAAACAAUUCAGAGGAGUCAAGUUAAUUUUUCUUUUCCACCAUUAUGAAAGCUUUGUGUAGUUAGGACGAUGUAAGCACGAAUUUUCACAGAUAAGUUUUGUAGAUCAUAUUGAGAGCUAGUUCAGACGAAUAAUAGAACUUAUUUUUCAUUUUCUAUGUGGAGCUUUCGAAAGAUAUAUAUUCCAUUGUGAUUGCCGUGAUAAAGUCAAUUUAAAGUUCGUAUUGUUUCUAUUUGAUAGUUGCAUGGAUGUUCAUUUUCGUGAUUCGUCUUUUUCUCUUCGGGAAAGCUCAAACGAAAUCCUCUUUUUUAAUUAUGCUGACUGGACAUGGCAAUUUUAUGAAAUAUUUCAUUUUAAAGUACCACGACGACAUUAAUUGUCUUCCAUGAACAGGUUUUAGGAAUGUGUGGUGCACAUUCAAUUCUUCUCAACCAAAUUAUCUUUUUGUUUGUUUUCUCGGAUUUCUUGACAAUGACACUUAAGUUUUUUUCUCUCUUUCUUUUCAUAAAAUGAGAAGAAAUUGAGUGAGCGACUUCCAAUCCAAUUAAAUAAUUGUAUUAUCUCUUUUU
Long non-coding RNA from Diachasmimorpha longicaudata, 1414 nucleotides. RefSeq lists it as uncharacterized. NCBI's taxonomy places the organism in Eukaryota, Metazoa, Arthropoda, Insecta, Hymenoptera, Braconidae. The record is from RefSeq and is a predicted model, not a curated record. The transcript has 3 exons.